CUCGGAGACAGGUGCUGCAUGGCUGUCGUCAGCUCGUGUCGUGAGAUGUUGGGUUAAGUCCCGCAACGAGCGCAACCCUUAUCCCCAGUUGCCAUCAGGUAAAGCUGGGAACUCUGGGGAGACUGCCGGUGAUAAACCGGAGGAAGGCGGGGAUGACGUCAAGUCCUCAUGGCCCUUACAUCCCGGGCUACACACGUGCUACAAUGGCAGGUACAGAGGGCUGCGAAGCCGCGAGGUGGAGCGAAUCCCAGAAAACCUGUCUCAGUCCGGAUUGAAGUCUGCAACUCGACUUCAUGAAGGCGGAAUCGCUAGUAACCGCGAAUCAGCAGGUCGCGGUGAAUACGUUCCCGGGCCUU
Molecule: ribosomal RNA, 356 nt
Filed under: uncultured Latescibacterota bacterium
Lineage: Bacteria; Pseudomonadati; Candidatus Latescibacterota
Description: bacterial SSU rRNA
Rfam family: Bacterial small subunit ribosomal RNA
Source: RNAcentral